This 126-nucleotide small nucleolar RNA is filed under the name Ictidomys tridecemlineatus (thirteen-lined ground squirrel). Its description in RNAcentral is "Small nucleolar RNA SNORA51 (ENSSTOG00000026814.1)". The record is from RNAcentral. Lineage: Eukaryota; Metazoa; Chordata; Mammalia; Rodentia; Sciuridae.
GUGUUCCCCACCUGCUUGUGAUCUUGCACUGACCGCACAGUAAGAGGAAAAAGAGUCAAAACUACACUAUAUAGGCCUCGGCCCAGGAACCUAGUCAGGGUCUGCCUUGUAAGUAGAGGGCUUGAG